UAUGUUAAUCCAAACCCGUCAGGUCUGGGAUCUCAAUCUCCUUCAUGAAUUCAAUCUCAUCACUCAACUCCUCCACCGCUACCCUUUCAUCUCCAUCGACACUGAGUUCCCAGGCGUCCUCAUCCGCCCCACCCUCCACCGCCACCCUCUCCGCCCUUCCGAUCACUACCUCCUCCUCAAGUCCAACGUCGACGCUCUCAACCUAAUCCAACUCGGUCUCACCCUCUCCGACGCCCACGGCAACCUCCCCACACUCGGCACCAAAAACUCCUUCAUCUGGGAGUUCAAUUUCAGGGAUUUCGACGUUGCACGCGACCCCCACGCCCCGGAUUCCAUCGAGCUCUUGAAACAACAGGGGAUUGAUUUCCACCGGAACAGAACUCAUGGGGUUUG
Molecule: long non-coding RNA, 393 nt
Filed under: Cucumis sativus (cucumber)
Lineage: Eukaryota; Viridiplantae; Streptophyta; Magnoliopsida; Cucurbitales; Cucurbitaceae
Description: long non-coding RNA (CSAT_LNC002446)
Source: RNAcentral